This 429-nucleotide long non-coding RNA is filed under the name Homo sapiens (human). Its description in RNAcentral is "long non-coding RNA NONHSAT155814.1". Lineage: Eukaryota; Metazoa; Chordata; Mammalia; Primates; Hominidae. The record is from RNAcentral.
AUCCAACGUCGCUCCAGCUGCUCUUGACGACUCCACAGAUACCCCGAAGCCAUGGCAAGCAAGGGCUUGCAGGACCUGAAGCAACAGGUGGAGGGGACCGCCCAGGAAGCCGUGUCAGCGGCCGGAGCGGCAGCUCAGCAAGUGGUGGACCAGGCCACAGAGGCGGGGCAGAAAGCCAUGGACCAGCUGGCCAAGACCACCCAGGAAACCAUCGACAAGACUGCUAACCAGGCCUCUGACACCUUCUCUGGGAUUGGGAAAAAAUUCGGCCUCCUGAAAUGACAGCAGGGAGACUUGGGUCGGCCUCCUGAAAUGACAGCAGGGAGACUUGGGUGACCCCCCUUCCAGGCGCCAUCUAGCACAGCCUGGCCCUGAUCUCCGGGCAGCCACCACCUCCUCGGUCUGCCCCCUCAUUAAAAUUCACGUUCC